CAGGACGAACGCUGGCGGCGUGCUUAACACAUGCAAGUCACGGGGGUCCCGCAAGGGAUAACCGGCGAACGGGUGCGUAACACGUGAACAACCUGCCCUCGUGUGGGGGAUAGCCAUGCUAACGCGUGGGUAAUACCGCAUACGUUCCUCGCGAGGAGUCUCGUGGGGAGGAAAGCUCCGGCGCACGGGGAGGGGUUCGCGGCCUAUCAGCUAGUUGGCGGGGUAAUGGCCCACCAAGGCGACGACGGGUAGCUGGUCUGAGAGGAUGGCCAGCCACAUUGGGACUGAGAGACGGCCCAGACUCCUACGGGAGCAGCAGUGGGAAUCUGCGCAAUGGACCGAAA
Molecule: ribosomal RNA, 344 nt
Filed under: uncultured soil bacterium
Lineage: Bacteria
Description: bacterial SSU rRNA
Rfam family: Bacterial small subunit ribosomal RNA
Source: RNAcentral